ACGGGUCUUAGCUCCAGAUUGAACGCUGGCGGGGUGCUUUACACAUGCAAGUCGAACGGCAGCGGACUUCGGUCUGGUGGCGAGUGGCGAACGGGUGAGUAAUGUAUCGGAACGUGCCUAGUAGCGGGGGAUAACUACGCGAAAGCUAAUACCGCAUACGCCCUUCGGGGAAAGCGGGAGACCUUCGGGCCUCGCACUGUUAGAGCAGCCGAUAUGGAUUAGCUGGAUUGGUGGGGUAACGGCUCACCAAGGCGACGAUCCGUAGCUGGUUUGAGAGGACGACCAGCCACACUGGGACUGAGACACGGCCCAGACUCCUACGGGAGGCAGCAGUGGGAAUUUUGGACAAUGAAACCCUGAUCAAUAUCCGCGUACGAUGAAGGCCUUCGGGUUGUAAAAGCACUUUUGGCAGGAAAGAAACGGCACGGGAUAAUACGUGCAGCUGACGGUACCUGCAGAAUAAAGCACCGGCUAACUACGUGCCAGCAGCCGCGGUAAUACGUAGGGUGCAAGCGUUAAUCGGAAUUACUGGGCGUAAAAAGCGUGCGCAGUGGUUCGGAAAGAAAGAUGCUUGAAAUCCCAGAGCUUAACUUUGGAACUGCAUUUUUUUUAACUACCGAGCUAGAGUGUGUCCAGAGGAGGUGGAAUUCCGCGUGCUUAGCAGUGAAAUGCGUAGAUAUGCGGAGAACACCGAUGGCGAAGGCAGCCUCCUGGGAUAACACUGACGCUCGCUGCACGAAAGCGUGGGAGCAAACAGGAUUGGAUACCCUGGUAGUCCACGCCUAAACGAUGUCAACUGGCUAUUUGGGGCCUUCGGGCCUUGGUAGCGCAGCCUAACGCGUGAAGUUGACCGCCUGGGGAGUACGGUCGCAAGAUUAAAACUCAAAGGAAUUGACGGGGACCCGCACAAGCGGUGGAUGAUGUGGAUUAAUUCGAUGCAACGCGAAAAACCUUACCUACCCUUGACAUGUCUGGAAUCCCGAAGAGAUUUGGGAGUGCUCGCAAGAGAACCGGAACACAGGUGCUGCAUGGCUGUCGUCAGCUCGUGUCUGGAAGGAUGUUGGGUUAAGUCCUGGCAGAAGCACAACCCUUGUCAUUAGUUGCUACGAAGGGCACUCUAAUGAGACUGCCGGUGACAAACCGGAAGGUGGGGAUGACGUCAGAGUCCUCAUGGCCCAUAUGGGUAGGGCUUCACACGUCAUACAAUGGUCGGGACAGAGAGAUUCGCCAACCCGCGAGGGGGAGCCAAUCCCAGAAACCCGAUCGUGAUCCGGAUCGCAGUCUACAACUCGACUGCGUGAAGUCGGAAUCGCUAGUAAUCGCGGAUCAGCAUGUCAUAAUUGAAUACGUUCCCGGGUCUUGCCACACACCGCCCGUCUCUGUAGAAUUGGGUUUUUGCCAGAAGUAGUUAGCCUAACCGUAAGGAGGGCGAUUACCACGGUAGGAUUCAUGACUGGGGUGAAGUCGUAACAAGGUAG
This 1478-nucleotide ribosomal RNA is filed under the name uncultured Bordetella sp. Its description in RNAcentral is "partial 16S-23S ribosomal RNA intergenic spacer". It matches the Rfam family "Bacterial small subunit ribosomal RNA". Lineage: Bacteria; Pseudomonadati; Pseudomonadota; Betaproteobacteria; Burkholderiales; Alcaligenaceae. The record is from RNAcentral.